Molecule: ribosomal RNA, 405 nt
Filed under: Craugastor stejnegerianus (Stejneger's rainfrog)
Lineage: Eukaryota; Metazoa; Chordata; Amphibia; Anura; Craugastoridae
Description: partial 16S ribosomal RNA
Rfam family: Bacterial large subunit ribosomal RNA
Source: RNAcentral
CCGUGCAAAGGUAGCAUAAUCAUUUGUCUCUUAAAUAGGGACCUGUAUGAACGGCAUCACGAAGAUUUUACUGUCUCCCCCCACCAAUCUGUGAAACUAAUCCCCCUGUGAAAAAGCAGGAAUAUAAAUACAAGACGAGAAGACCCUGUGGAGCUUAAAACUAGUAACACUUGCUUGUCCUCCUAAAACAUCUCCACUCAGCAUUAUGCUUACACCUUUUUGGUUGGGGCAACCACGGAGAAAAACCAAACCUCCACGCUGUUUAUAUUUCAGAACCUCAAUUCCACAAAUCAUUAAAUUGACACAUUGACCCAUACACUUGAUCAACGAACUAAGUUACCCCAGGGAUAACAGCGCCAUCCACUUCGAGAGCACAUAUCGACAGGUGGGCUUACGACCUCGAUG